Molecule: ribosomal RNA, 572 nt
Filed under: uncultured bacterium
Lineage: Bacteria
Description: partial 16S ribosomal RNA
Rfam family: Bacterial small subunit ribosomal RNA
Source: RNAcentral
UGAGGAAUAUUGGUCAAUGGGCGAGAGCCUGAACCAGCCAAAUCGCGUGAAGGAAGACUGCCUUAUGGGUUGUAAACUUCUUUUAUACAGGAAUAAAAAAGGGGACGUGUCCCCUUAUUGCAUGUACUGUAUGAAUAAGCAUCGGCUAACUCCGUGCCAGCAGCCGCGGUAAUACGGAGGAUGCGAGCGUUAUCCGGAUUUAUUGGGUUUAAAGGGUGCGCAGGCGGGCUUUUAAGUCAGCGGUGAAAUCUCGGGCUUAACUCCGAAACUGCCGUUGAAACUGGGAGUCUUGAGUAUGGAUGAAGUAGCGGAAUUCGUUGUGUAGCGGUGACAUGCUUAGAUAUAACGAGGAACUCCGAUUGCGUAGGCAGCUUACUAAGCCAUAACUGACGCUCAAGCACGAAAGCGUGGGGAUCAAACAGGAUUAGAUACCCCUGGUAGUCCACGCCGUAAACGAUGAUUACUAGUUGUAUGCGAUAUACCGUAUGUGACUAAGCGAAAGCGAUAAGUAAUCCACCUGGGGAGUACGCCGGCAACGGUGAAACUCAAAGGAAUUGACGGGGUCAUAGCUG